RNAcentral lists this transfer RNA (60 nucleotides) under Muribaculaceae bacterium. RNAcentral's name for it is "tRNA-His". It matches the Rfam family "tRNA", at positions 9 to 63 of the family's 71-position model. Rfam says of the family: Transfer RNA (tRNA) molecules are approximately 80 nucleotides in length. Their secondary structure includes four short double-helical elements and three loops (D, anti-codon, and T loops). Lineage: Bacteria; Pseudomonadati; Bacteroidota; Bacteroidia; Bacteroidales; Muribaculaceae. The record is from RNAcentral.
AGCUCAGUUGGUUAGAGCGACGGAUUGUGGUUCCGUAGGUCGUGGGUUCGAGCCCCAUCU